AAAAUGAAAUUUCAAGCAGUGACAACACCUAGUUCAUCAAUCAUACUAAUAAUUUAUAAUAUCAUUCUCCAUGAAUCAACAUACUUGUUGAAACAAAUAUAUAUCACACCCUUUGCAUAAAUUAUAUAAUCUUUUAUCUCAAUGCACAAUUUCUCAACACAUGGUGGCUAAACGUUUACAAUCUCCUGUAAAUGAACUAUAGUAUGUGAACCAUUUGAAAUUUCGGUGUCAUAUUGUUACAGUAUAAUCCAGUCAGAAAUUAGAAUGCCCUUGUUGGGCAAUGGACUAUUUUAAAACUUCAUCACCAUCGUACCUACACACAUAUAAGUGUUGUUCAGUAAAUAACCAUUUAUGUAUCAACUAAAUUCAGUAAAGGACUAUUACUAUGAGAAAAUCAAGUGUUGUUCAAAAAAGAAAAGUGCCCAUUAUCACUUCAGUUAUAACUGCUACUGCUAGCUGCUCUUGCUUCCCUUCGCAUUGUAAGGGUGUUGUAUUUAGCAACAAAACCUUGCAUAUCAAAUUAUAUGGAGAACAUAUGCUGCAAUGAACCAUUGACUGAUCUAAAAACCAACAUUGGCAUCCAAACUGGCCCAGCUCUCCAUCUAAAAAUAAUCUUAAAUAACAAAUAAAAAAAUUGCAACAUUAAGUGAAUUUGGGCUGAAGUGAAUUUGCCUUUGGUUGACCAAUAUUCUUCGUAUUUUUAUUCCAAUAUUCUUCAUGUUUGGUUGACCAAACACCAUCUCAUAUUAUGAUUUAUGAAGCGAUCAUUUAGUAACACCACAAUAUCCCAAAGUAGCAGGCAUUUUAUUUUCCUAAAAAGAAGUAGCCGACAUAUUCUUAAGCUUCUGUACAAGCUUUGCAAAGAAAUUUUAUAACCCCUCUAGAUUGUCUGAGCAACAGUACUGAUUCCAGAUUGCCGGUUGUAUCUCAAAUUGAAAUCAUAAGUUAAAUACUUGUGACAACCUACCCAGAAAGUCUCAAUCUCAAGUAUCAUUGCUUCCAAAUAAAUUACUGUGAUGCAACAACAGUAACUCGUAGAUGGCAACCAGAAUGAAAUUGUAUCAAAACGGACCAAAUCUUGCCAAUAAACCCAACACAUAAUAGAAUUAGACCUUGCAAUUAUGGCAAGUUACAGUCAUCAAAUUUAUCUGCUCUAAUUCGCAACAAGAAAACUUUGAUUUGUGAUAUGAUGAUGACCAGGCAGCCAAGGAGAAGUGGACAUGCAAGAGAGGAGUCGUGACUUGGCGACCAUGGUUGUUCUCUGCACAUACCUUGAUGCGGUGUUCGUCCUCCACCCCAGCAUCCUGCGUGUCCCGUCCUUGCCUCCCCGCGCCUUUCACACGACAUAUCUUCAACCUCCUAACCAUCUUUGAUGCACUGACGCUGAGUUAAGAAAUCUGCCAGGAAUGACAUCGGAAAUUAAUAGUCAAGCACAAUCCUUGAGAUAACAUGGUUAUCGUAAAAGUAUCAAUAUCUAUCAGGAGAUCAAACCUACUAAUUUAAACCACGCUUCAAAUCUUGUGCAACUUCUCCUAUAUAGAAGCAUGGUUUCUUCUCAUGUAGAUGUGGGAAAUCUGACACGAAUGCAUGUAUGCAACAAAAAAUUCUCUAGUGUCAUACGCACAAGUUAAGUAGUUAACAAAAGUUUACUUCCCACUACUAAUUUUGCACUUGUCAUAAUAAAGAAAACAGAGCUCGACAUCACGGCAACAAAAGCGGUAGACUGGGAGCCUGGAACCAUGCACACCAAAUCGCAGAGCAGAAAAAUAGCAGUACUACCUGGAGCAAAAGAAACUCAACGGACUGGGGCAACAUUUGGAAAGAGACAAGCAAGUACUACAACAGCUAGCUAGGCUGAAUUGAAGAUCAACCAAAAUCAUAUCAAGUAUUUGUUGAGCAUGCUUAUACACGGGAAGGGGAAGGGGUUCACGGCAUGGACCUUUAGGUCAUGGCGUGGCUUGCAUCUCUCCUCCUCAUGUGCAUUGGUUUGCAUCCAAUCCUUGCAGUCCAAUCGAUGGGCGUCCCCCCCUCUCUGCAUCUCUAGAACAACACGACACUUAAAUUUCAUCAACUUCCAUUGCUACUUAAUAAAAGAGGGGCAAGAUGUAUAUGCUGCAUAAAACAUACAUGGAGAAGCAAGCUGCUUGAAAACAGAGGAGAUCCAUGAUGGUUGUUUUCAUUCGCAACAGAAGAACUCGAAAAAAUGUGCAAGUGCAUGCUAUCUAUGGAUACACCAACUCCAUCAAGUACCUAGCACCCAAACUAAGAAAAAAAAUCAUUCAUAUGCAGCAGCCCAAACUCAACUUUGAGAGAGCGGACUAAUUAACAUUUUUUUGUUGGGUCAAAUUUUUCACAAAUAUAGAUAGAAGCACUCCAGAAGCUAUCCGAAUAAAUCAUAGAGGCUGGCCAAACUAAUUGGCGCACUCAAACGAUACAAGAGAGCGGCCUGAUGAACACAUUGUUAGAGACGCACAUAUAGCUAGUUUCUGUAGAUCAAUUAAGCUACUAGCUUGGUUGCUUCUUUUAGAUAGCAUACACGUACGUGAUUUGUUAUAGCAUACAUAAACCGAACACACUUUCUUUAUCAAAAUUUUCACAACUAGAAGAACUCCAGCAGCUAGCUAGGCAGAAGUGAAGAUUGACCAAAAUCAUAUCAAGCAAUGUGAAGCAUCAUUAUACAAGGAAAAGGGGGGAACAGAGGAGUGCAGAGGGUCUCACCAUGGGGGUGCUUUAGCCGAUGUAGUGCACCGCCAUCACGCCGUGGAUGGAGCCUCCGUCACGCCGUGGAUGGAGCUGUCGUCUCGCCGGAGUUUACCCGCCGCGUGCGUCCGCCCCGCAGCCACCGGGUGCAGGAGAGCCGACCACGAGGGGGAGCUGCCCGUGGGACUUGCGGUGGCCGUCGGAGAGGGCGGAGCAGAGUCGCCAGCGACAUGCCAGAGUUGGAG
This 2945-nucleotide long non-coding RNA is filed under the name Triticum aestivum (bread wheat). Its description in RNAcentral is "long non-coding RNA (TAES_LNC026428)". Lineage: Eukaryota; Viridiplantae; Streptophyta; Magnoliopsida; Poales; Poaceae. The record is from RNAcentral.